This 237-nucleotide ribosomal RNA is filed under the name uncultured Glomus. RNAcentral's name for it is "partial 18S ribosomal RNA". It matches the Rfam family "Eukaryotic small subunit ribosomal RNA", at positions 569 to 812 of the family's 1831-position model. The record is from RNAcentral. Lineage: Eukaryota; Fungi; Glomeromycota; Glomeromycetes; Glomerales; Glomeraceae.
AGCAGCCGCGGUAAUUCCAGCUCCAAUAGCGUAUAUUAAAGUUGUUGCAGUUAAAAAGCUCGUAGUUGAAUUUCGGGAUCAGUACGCUGGUCGUGCCUUGGUAUGUACUGGUGUUACUGGUUCCUACCUUCUGACGAACCGUCAUGUCAUUAAUUUGGUGUGGCGGGAAAUCAGGACUGUUACUUUGAAAAAAUUAGAGUGUUUAAAGCAGGCUCGCGCUUGAAUACAUUAGCAUGG